Cordylochernes scorpioides is the source of this 73-nucleotide non-coding RNA. Lineage: Eukaryota; Metazoa; Arthropoda; Arachnida; Pseudoscorpiones; Chernetidae. The record is from the annotation of a GenBank genome assembly.
GUCCAGGGAUGGGAAUCGAACCCAUGAUGUUCCGUUUACCGGGCAGAUGCCAUGUCCACUAGGCUACCCUGGA